AGGGAGCGCAGCAAGAAGAGA
RNAcentral lists this microRNA (21 nucleotides) under Ornithorhynchus anatinus (platypus). RNAcentral describes it as "oan-miR-1375-3p". The record is from miRBase by way of RNAcentral. Lineage: Eukaryota; Metazoa; Chordata; Mammalia; Monotremata; Ornithorhynchidae.